GGAAUCCUGAAUGGGAGCAGACUCUAAAGUACAGUCUUGCCAUCAGUGCCUUCACAGGGAUGAGCCAUCUCUUUUCUGCAGACCAAGCAUUUUCAUCAGUGAAAAUAGUCUGUGUGCAGAGAGUGAUGGCGCAUGCCUUGUAACCUCAGCAUCCGGAGCCUGAGCAAGAAGAUCCAGAGUUUAAGGCCAGCCUCAACUACAAAGUGAAAUGCUAACAAAACAAAACAACAACAACAAAAGCAAUCAAAGUGCUGCUUUUCAGUCAGGCCAUUGUUUUCCUUUUUCCCUUUCUGUGGUGCUGAGGUUUAAUCUCGAGGCCUUUUUUCUGCUAGACAGGUGUUCCGUGAUGAGCCACGUCCUGAGCCUUUACUUUUCCUUGAGACAGGAAUUUCUGUGUAGCAUAGGCUGGCCUCAAAUUUAUAAUUCAUCUGCUUCCUGAAUGCUGGAUUACAGAUGUGUACAGUACCAUUGUGUCUUGUCCCAAGGGAUUAGGAAUAAUUCACCCAAGCCUCCAUUGAAUACUUCAGUAUUUCUGACCAGUGCUUGGGAUCUCUCAUAAUUCCCUUUUCUUCUUAACCAAGUGACUUUGCGUCAAGAGAGUGCUACUGUCCUAUGUCUACAAGGCCAGAUUGCAGUCGUCUUCCUGGAGAAAGCUUUAAGCUGAUUCUCAGCAUGAGAAUCAGGGUCUGGCUGGCUCAAUGCCAUCCAGAGCCUCUCUAUGAUGGUGGGUGGCUGACACAAAAUACAGGGAGUAUGCUUUGCCGACACCUUCAACUAGGUAAGGCCCUGCAGUGCACACUGUGGAGCCUGUCUACCUGGUGACCAAAGUGUACGCCAACUUGAAGCACGAGAGCUAACUGUCCUAUCAUAUAUUCCAGACCAGCUAAUGUGGUUCUUCAACCUAGGGACUCAUACAGCUAAGUAUGUGUGACACUGCUCCCUGUCUCAGUCAGAACCUACCAGGACCUAUGUGGUAGACAGUCAGGGGUUGCUGCUAGACUUCAGUGUACUGAGCAUAUAGCACUGCCAGGUAGAUGGAGGUUUAGUUUUGAAAGCCUUGCCUUAGUUUCUGUACUCUUCCUCUUCAAAAGUAUUCUGGCAACCAUCUUGGGUCUAUUACUCUAUCUCCAACACUAAGAACAUCUGUCAACCUGGUCUCUGAAGCAUGGUUUUGGAAUUGCUCCCAACUUAAGACUCACCUUUUAGUAGAAUCAAUGCAUGGCUUCACCUUUCAGAUUAAUUCUAGAAACAUCUUUCAGUUGGACAUUGCCUGCAGUGCCAACAAUGAAGCCUUAGAUGUGGUGUUGGAGUCAAAUACAUACAUGUGAGUUUGAUUAUUUUCACUUAAUACGUUUAUAGGUUGUCCCUGCUUGUCUUUUGUUGGUCGGGUGGGAAGCUCUACCAGAUUACUGAUUGCUUUUAAAUGUGCUCUUUAGUUCACAGUUCCUUUUGGAAGAACUUUGCAUGCAUUAAUAUGCACUAACAUAUUCUGAAAACUUUUUUUUAUUAAAGAGCUUCCUUACAAUGAAGGA
This 1532-nucleotide long non-coding RNA is filed under the name Rattus norvegicus (Norway rat). RNAcentral describes it as "long non-coding RNA NONRATT013377". The record is from RNAcentral. Lineage: Eukaryota; Metazoa; Chordata; Mammalia; Rodentia; Muridae.